This 264-nucleotide ribosomal RNA is filed under the name uncultured Methanosaeta sp. Its description in RNAcentral is "partial 16S ribosomal RNA". It matches the Rfam family "Archaeal small subunit ribosomal RNA", at positions 1076 to 1338 of the family's 1478-position model. The record is from RNAcentral. Lineage: Archaea; Methanobacteriati; Methanobacteriota; Methanomicrobia; Methanotrichales; Methanotrichaceae.
UCUCCGGAGUGACGGGUACACUGUGGGACCGCCGCUGCUAAAGCGGAGGAAGGAAUGGGCAACGGUAGGUCAGUAUGCCCCGAAUAUCCCGGGCUACACGCGAGCUACAAUGGUUGGUACAAUGGGUAUCUACCCCGAAAGGGGACGGGAAUCUCCUAAAACCAAUCUUAGUUCGGAUUGAGGGCUGCAACUCGCCCUCAUGAAGCUGGAAUCCGUAGUAAUCGCGUUUCAACAGAACGCGGUCGAAUACCGUCCCUGCUCCUU